Long non-coding RNA from Nilaparvata lugens (brown planthopper), 963 nucleotides. RefSeq lists it as uncharacterized. Lineage: Eukaryota; Metazoa; Arthropoda; Insecta; Hemiptera; Delphacidae. The transcript is spliced from 3 exons. The record is from RefSeq and is a predicted model, not a curated record.
AUGAAUAGAAUACGUUUUAAAAUUAAAGUGUUUCAAUCACUUUGAUUCGAAUUGGUAUUGAAAGUAUUGCCAUUUUACUACGAACACUGUUUUUUGAUGUAUUUUAUCACGACAAACAGUCAAUUAUUCCAAGUAAAUUAGUAAAUUUGUUUACUAACUGACUGGAGUACUUUCGAACGGCAAGCGUUCAUUUUCCAAGUGUUGAAAAUGUGGACUGUUGAAAAUGAACGCUUCCUGUUCGAAAGUACUCUGAAAGUAAACAAAUUCUCUUAUCUACUUGAGAUAAUUGACUGAAUGUUGUGUGAAAUACAUAAAAAAUAGUGUUAAUGCAUUGCAGCUCGGAUUGGAUCAAGAAACCAUCAUCUUCAAUAUUUCACUAUAAGUUACAAGAGGCACAAAAAUGCAUCAGAGGGACUUGGAACAGAAAUAUUGGAGAAUUGCAGGGGAUAUGUUGCUGGCUACCGCUGGCCUUGAUUGGGCACGCAGUGAGGAUGGCAAGACCAACUCAGCCAAGCUGGGCCAGCGACUGGGCCAAGUGUGGACUAGACAUUUGUUGCCAACCGUUUAAUAGUUGAGGCCUUACUGAGUGUGGCAGGCAGUUGAACAUCUUUACUAGGAGCAUCGGGCAGCAAUAGGCCUACUCUCGUCAGUUUUCAGCUGGGAUUACAGUGUUCCUAUUUCCACUUCUCAGUUCUCGUUCAUCUGAGCCCAGCUGCUGAAAGCUUAGACCAUUUAUAGAAUAGACACGGCCCAUUGUAUAUUCAUAGUUCAUACUGAAAGUCGAUGUAGCCAACAUCUACUGCCAAAUCCACCCAUCUUGACGUCACAGCAGUGACGUCACAGAUCGUAUAGAAAUAAUUAUUAUAGAAAACUUUUUUGAGUUUGUUGUGUAAGUGUUUGUGGUGUUUAACUUACAUUAUUGUUAAACAAUGCAUUGUUGUUGAACAUAGCUUGUUUUCCAUA